GCCGCGCCCGCAGAGCCUCAUGGGAAAUGUAGUCCGUCCCCUCAAGCCAGCCCCCUCUCUGGGAAACGGAACUUUCCUCAGGAAAGUGGAAAUUUCCUUAGGAAAAGGCGUUCUUUGAUGUUUGGUCUUUGUGUGCUUUCAGGCCUAAUCGACAGGAAGGGAGAUUUUUGUUCGUGUAACAGAAACUAGCCACCAAGCUCAAAGGGAUGACCAGGCCUUUGAAAGGAGCAGCGAGUGCCAGUGGCCAGGAGGAGCAGCCAGCAGAGAGAGUGACCCUGAACAAGACAUGGAGUCCCCUGGGUUGCCUGACCCUGACUGUUUAGGGGGCUGCUCCAAGGCCUCAUGAGUUGAUUGGUGUAGCAUGUAGCCAAGCAAAUACUCCUACAUAACCUUAGGCCUGCUGUUUUUGCCAUUUAUGCCUUCUUUCAUGACCAUCUGACUGUGUUUUUGCUAACGAAGCUUGCACCUUUAACAGGGGCACAGCAAUGUGCCAAAGAUCAAACUGUGUGUCUGCAACAUCAGCCUCAUUACUCAAGCUACACCACAGUUGUGGAAGCCCCACUACUUUUGAGAUGACCAGGAUACAACUCUUCAUAUUUAAGGGAUUUGUCCUUGCUGAAAUUGAGAAAGAGUGUCUCUGCUGCAAGGUCCUGCUCUGAGCAGGGGGAAAGGCAGAAGAGGAGUGGAGAAACCUUACACUUCAGUAACAUUUCAUGAAGCCACCUUGUAAAGAGCAGUACUCCUAGAGGGAAAUAUAGCACAAGGACUGCUGGACAAGCAUCAUACCCUCAGGAACAUCACCCUCUGCAGCCUUGGACAUUGGCAUGUUUUUACCAGAGAGACCCAGUGUUUGCCUGAAGAAUGACGUAGUUUCUCCAUUUGUUUGGCUGCUGCAGUGACCCUUUGGCCUUUACAAGGACAGGUUUGUGUUUUACUGAAGAUUAUUCACAGCCACAUGUUGGGCCCUGUCGUCUGCUGAAUUGGGAUAUGAUGUCUGUAAAGCUGGUGUGAAAAUGAAUCUCUGACUGCAGGAGAGAAACCGCCAAUGCCUUUGUAUCUCACAGAAGAUUACCUGUUUAUUUUGUGAAAUAUCUACCCUCUCUAUACAAAAUAAAAUGUGCAGCACAGAAAAGGGCAUGAAGACUCAAUCUGCUUCUGUAAGAUUGGAAGGCAGCCGCCCCAUUGGCAGAGUGGGCACUGUGCAAGCACCUGAGUAACUCAGAACAGCUCCCUGCAGGCUCAGCUAAGCAGCACCUCUGCUGUGAAGGUAUUUUGCUUUCUGCCAGGAGCAGUGAAUGAACCACUCCAGCUGAGCUGUGAAU
Molecule: long non-coding RNA, 1322 nt
Organism: Passer domesticus (house sparrow)
Lineage: Eukaryota; Metazoa; Chordata; Aves; Passeriformes; Passeridae
Exons: 8
Source: RefSeq, a predicted model, not a curated record